AUUUCUUUCCCAUCUCUCUCCAUAGACCGCCCACCCUCCUUGUCUCUCGUCUCUCUUUCUUUCUAAUCUUACCAUAACUUGGCUUCCGGCCAUUCUUUUCCACUUGUGUCGAAUUCUUCAUAACCUAUGGGUAAUGUCUUUCAGAUUCAAUUUGGUGAUGCCUUGAUCGAUCGUUGCUGGGAUUGCAUUGCUGGACAAGUUCUUUAUCUAUGUCAGUUUGAAGAUUAUCUUCAAGAUCUUGAGACUGCAAGAGAUAAAUUACAAGAGUUGAUGAACGAUGUGAUGCGGAUGGUUAUCAGUGAGGAAACACCACAAACAGUGAAGCUGGAUCGAGAAGGAGGGUGGCUUUCUUGGGUGGAUGCUACAAUUAUUGAAGUUAAUGCUCUCCUCAACAGAGCUACACAAGAAAGACAGAAAUUGUUUAUCGCAAGCUGUUGCUCCAAGAACUACAAAUCCAGCUACAUGUUUGGGAAAAGUGUUUGCAGAAGUUUCAAACAUGUGGUUGCUUUGAUGAGUGAAGGUGAAUUCAAAGAAGUGGUU
This 540-nucleotide unclassified non-coding RNA is filed under the name Hevea brasiliensis (rubber tree). The record is from RNAcentral. Lineage: Eukaryota; Viridiplantae; Streptophyta; Magnoliopsida; Malpighiales; Euphorbiaceae.